Non-coding RNA from Capsella rubella, 115 nucleotides. Lineage: Eukaryota; Viridiplantae; Streptophyta; Magnoliopsida; Brassicales; Brassicaceae. The record is from Rfam.
AGCCGUGCGAUAAGCACAUAGCGAACUAUUCUUUCGCCUUUUACUAAAGAAUACCGUGUGCUUGUCGUCCUUAGCGGCAUACGCCUAUUUUUGGAGGGUUAUCUCUUAUUGAGAU